GGAGACAUGGCUCAGUUGGAAGAGUGCUUGCCUAGCGUGCAGCAGCCCUGGGUUCCAGCCCCAUGUCUGCA
RNAcentral lists this transfer RNA (71 nucleotides) under Mus musculus (house mouse). It matches the Rfam family "tRNA". Rfam says of the family: Transfer RNA (tRNA) molecules are approximately 80 nucleotides in length. Their secondary structure includes four short double-helical elements and three loops (D, anti-codon, and T loops). RNAcentral also lists the same sequence under 1 other name. The record is from Rfam by way of RNAcentral. Lineage: Eukaryota; Metazoa; Chordata; Mammalia; Rodentia; Muridae.